CCCCAGAGGAUGCUAAGUGUUAGAGGGUUUCCGCCCUUUAGUGCUGAAGUUAACGCAUUAAGCACUCCGCCUGGGGAGUACGGCCGCAAGGCUGAAACUCAAAGGAAUUGACGGGGGCCCGCACAAGCGGUGGAGCAUGUGGUUUAAUUCAAAGCAACGCGAAGAACCUUACCAGGUCUUGACAUCCUCUGAAAACCCUAGAGAUAGGGCUUCUCCUUCGGGAGCAGAGUGACAGGUGGUGCAUGGUUGUCGUCAGCUCGUGUCGUGAGAUGUUGGGUUAAGUCCCGCAACGAGCGCAACCCUUGAUCUUAUUUGCCAUCAUUAAGUUGGGCACUCUAAGGUGACUGCCGGUGACAAACCGGAGGAAGGUGGGGAUGACGUCAAAUCAUCAUGCCCCUUAUGACCUGGGCUACACACGUGCUACAAUGGACGGUACAAAGAGCUGCAAGACCGCGAGGUGGAGCUAAUCUCAUAAAACCGUUCUCAGUUCGGAUUGUAGGCUGCAACUCGCCUACAUGAAGCUGAAAUCGCUAUUAAUCGCGGAUCAGCAUGCCGCGGUGAAUACGUUCCCGGGCCUUGUACACACCGCCCGUCACACCACGAGAGUUUGUAACACCCGAAGUCGUUGGGGUAACCUUUUUGGAGCCAUCCGCCUAAGGUGGGACAUAUGAUUGGGGUGAAGUGGUAACAAGGUACC
This 697-nucleotide ribosomal RNA is filed under the name Bacillus cereus. RNAcentral's name for it is "bacterial SSU rRNA". It matches the Rfam family "Bacterial small subunit ribosomal RNA", at positions 800 to 1500 of the family's 1533-position model. Lineage: Bacteria; Bacillati; Bacillota; Bacilli; Caryophanales; Bacillaceae. The record is from RNAcentral.